CCUACGGGAGGCAGCAGUGAGGAAUUUUCCGCAAUGGGCGAAAGCCUGACGGAGCAAUACCGCGUGAGGGAUGAAGGAUUUUGGUCUGUAGACCUCUUUUCUCAAGAAAGAAGUUCUGACGGUACUUGAAGAAUAAGCAUCGGCUAACUCCGUGCCAGCAGCCGCGGUAAUACGGGGGAUGCAAGCGUUAUCCGGAAUGAUUGGGCGUAAAGCGCCUGUAGGUUGUUUAUUAAGUCCGUUGUUAAAGCCUAGGGCUCAACCCUAGAAAAGCAAUGGAAACUAGUAGACUAGAGUAUGGCAGGGGUAGAGGGAAUUUCUAGUGUAGCGGUGAAAUGCGUAGAUAUUAGAAAGAACACCGGUGGCGAAAGCGCUCUACUGGACCAUUACUGACACUCAGAGGCGAAAGCUAGGGUAGCAAAAGGGAUUAGAUACCCCUGUAGUCCUAGCCGUAAACGAUGGAUACUAGAUGUUGUGCAUUAUGUACAGUAUCGUAGCUAACGCGUUAAGUAUCCCGCCUGGGGAGUACGCUCGCAAGGGUGAAACUCAAAGGAAUUGACGG
Molecule: ribosomal RNA, 559 nt
Filed under: uncultured bacterium
Lineage: Bacteria
Description: bacterial SSU rRNA
Rfam family: Bacterial small subunit ribosomal RNA
Source: RNAcentral